GCCGUGGACUGCAGCUGCACUCCAGUCUUUAAGCCCAGCUGUGCUCGGGUGUCUCACUUUCUACACCCCACCCUCAGCAUCAGAUAUACUCUAUCUCAGAAGCAAAAAGCCAUCCAUGAACAAAGACCUGGGACCAAGCCGACUCAUAAUACUAGUGGGAAACGGCCCCACCAGCAGCCCGCACCUGCAUCCUGCUCUCCCGCUGCCUCACUGGACCCUUGCAGUUAACUGGGACUUCAGCAGAGCAGAGCCUCAUCUUACGGAGGUCAAGUGUCCCACUGCUGCAGGGCCUUCAACCUGGAUCAUCCAGGUCUUCACAGGACUCCUCCCCCAGAAUGAUGCCUCCUUUGACAAUAGCUGGAGAUGUCAGAAAUGAGAUCAUUACUCAGCACUGGAUGCAGUGGUGCGUGUCUGUGUUCCCAGCUACUCAGGAGGCAGAGAUAGGAGGAUCACUCGAGCCCAGAAGGUGGAGGCUGCAGUUAACUUUAAUCUGCACCACUGCACUCCAGCCCAGUUGACAGAACAAGACACUGUUUCUUAAAGAAUAAUAAUAAUAAUAAAUUUAAGUCUGGAAAAUCUGUUAUAGGUAAUACCCCUGGCGUAGCUGAAAUACUCACAUUUUAACGGUUCUGGAGAGAGAGAU
This 643-nucleotide long non-coding RNA is filed under the name Homo sapiens (human). Its description in RNAcentral is "HSALNT0099578". Lineage: Eukaryota; Metazoa; Chordata; Mammalia; Primates; Hominidae. The record is from RNAcentral.